UACCAGACUCCUACGGGAGGCAGCAGUGGGGAAUAUUGCACAAUGGGGGAAACCCUGAUGCAGCGACGCCGCGUGAGCGAUGAAGUAUUUCGGUAUGUAAAGCUCUAUCAGCAGGGAAGAAGAUGACGGUACCUGACGAAUAAGCCACGGCUAACUACGUGCCAGCAGCCGCGGUAAUACGUAGGUGGCAAGCGUUGUCCGGAUUUACUGGGUGUAAAGGGCGUGUAGCCGGGUUGACAAGUCGGAUGUGAAAUCCUGCGGCUUAACCGCAGAACUGCAUUUGAAACUGUUGAUCUUGAGUACUGGAGAGGCAGACGGAAUUCCUAGUGUAGCGGUGAAAUGCGUAGAUAUUAGGAGGAACACCAGUGGCGAAGGCGGUCUGCUGGACAGCAACUGACGGUGAGGCGCGAAAGCGUGGGGAGCAAACAGGAUUAGAUACCCCCGUA
RNAcentral lists this ribosomal RNA (446 nucleotides) under uncultured bacterium. RNAcentral's name for it is "bacterial SSU rRNA". It matches the Rfam family "Bacterial small subunit ribosomal RNA", at positions 329 to 792 of the family's 1533-position model. The record is from RNAcentral.